GGAGAAGUACCCAAGAGGCCGAAGGGGGCGGUUUGCUAAACCGUUAGCCGGUGUAUAGCCGGGCUCGGGUUCGAAUCCCGACUUCUCCGCCA
Molecule: transfer RNA, 92 nt
Filed under: Oscillospiraceae bacterium
Lineage: Bacteria; Bacillati; Bacillota; Clostridia; Eubacteriales; Oscillospiraceae
Description: tRNA-Ser
Rfam family: tRNA
About the family: Transfer RNA (tRNA) molecules are approximately 80 nucleotides in length. Their secondary structure includes four short double-helical elements and three loops (D, anti-codon, and T loops).
Source: RNAcentral